UUCCGGGGCGUCUGCCCGCAAGGCACCGCCAGCCCCUUGUUAAGGUCUGAACCGCUCCGGCUGUCUCGGGUUUGUGGAGUCUAUGUUGUGUGCCGUGCCUCCUGCUAGGAGCUGUCACGCGUUUUGCCGCGUUUGCUCCUCAGCAGCCUGCUGAGUCAGGUGCCAUCGCCCUGAGAGCCCUCGUGUGUCUUGGGCAGGUCUGUGCAGAGGACGCCGUCUCCGACCAUGGCUUCGAGUUGGGCUGCCGUUACCUCGCUAAGUGACCUCCAGAAGGCAAGCUGACUUCCUGGGUCUGGGUGUCCCUGUGCGGGAUUGGACCCCGGGACUUUCUUGGGUCCGCAUCCAGACCCCUUUACUGCCCGGCUUCUGGGUGUGCUGGGGGCCAACAGCUCACAGCCACCCCCUUCUCUGAAUAGUUAAUUGUCCUUGGCUGAUGGGAACUGCUGCGCCCUGGAAGUUAUCACUCCCCAAACACCUGGAGCUCAUGAUUGACUGGGGUUGCAGUGUAAAGGCCCAGCUCCUUUGCCUCCAAGAGAGUUGACUCGUGCUGUUCGUGCUCCGAGCUCCUCUGGAAUGAAGUUGAAGGAGUGAGAAUCCCCAGAAUAAUGAGAGGACAACCAGCAGAGGAAGGAAGUCCCUGGGAGGCCUGGCCCUGUGCACAGCUGACAGGAGCGUGGCCUCCUCAGGAACCUCCAAGGGUUUGGCUUCGGGACAGUGCAGGGCUGUACCCACACUGAGACGAGCUCGGUUUCCUCAGGACCGGCUGGGAGGUGCCUCCACGGGAGAAGAAGAAACCUGUAUGGGACAUUUUAUGGCAGCUUUAUUCAUAACAGCCAAAACUUGGAAGCAACCAAGACGUCCUUCAGGAGGUGAAUGGACACACAGACUGGUCUCCGUCCAUGCAGCAGAAUGUUCUUCAGCACUGAAAAGAUAUGAGAGAGAUAUGGAGCCAUGGGGAAACGGGAGGGGCACCUCAAGUGCAUAUCACUCACCAAAAGAAGCCAAUCUGGGGCUUCCCUGGUGGCGCAGUGGUUGAGAAUCUGCCUGCCAAUGCAGGGGACACGGGUUCAAGCCCUGGUCUGGGAAGAUCCCACAUGCCGCGGAGCGACUAGGCCCGUGAGCCACAACUACUGAGCCUGCGCGUCUGGAGCCUGUGCUCCGCAGCAAGAGAGGCCGCGACAGUGAGAGGCCUGCGCACCGUGAUGAAGAGUGGCCCCCACUUGCCACAACUAGAGAAAGCCCUCGCACAGAAACGAAGACCCAACACAGCCAUAAAUAAAUAAAUAAAUAAAUAAAUAAAUAAAUAAAUAAAUAAAAAUUAAAAAAAAAAAAGCCAAUCUGGAAAGGUGGCAUAGCUUAGGGUACCAACCACAUAUGACAUUCAGGAAAAGGCAAACCAAAGAAAGGGUGGGUUGCCAAGGGUUUGUGGCAGGGUUGAGGGGUGGGGCAUGAUAAACAGGUUGAGCACAGAGGAUUUUUUUCUUUUUUUUUGGUAUCUUUUUAAUAACUUUAUUGAGGUAAAAUUCACAUACCAUACAAUUCACCCAUUUAAAGUAUACAAUUCAGUGGCUUUUAGUAUAGUCACAGAAUUGUGCAUCUAUCACCACUAUCAAUUUUCGAACCUUUUUAUUACCCCCAAAAGAAACUUUGUACUUUCAGUCUCUACUUCUCAGUACUCUCAAAUCCCCCAGCUCUAGGCAACAACUAAUUUUCUAUUUUCUGUCUCUGUAGAGUUGCCUAUUGUGGACAUUUCAUAAAAAUGGAAUUAUACAACGUGUGGUCUUUUGUGACUGGCUUCUUUCAUUUAGCAUAAUGUUUUCAAGGUUCAUCCAUGUUGUACCAUGUGUGAGUACUUCAUUCCUUUUUAUGGCUUAAUAAUAUUCCACUAUAUGGAUAUACUACGUUUAUUCAUUUAUGAGUCGAACAUUUGGGUUAUUUCGACUUUUUAACUAUUAUGUAUGAUACUGCUAUGAACAUUCAUGUACAAGUUUUUGUGUGCAUAUACGUUUUUAUUUCUCUUGAGUAUGCAUACCUAGGAAUGAAAUUAAUGGGUAUGUAUACCCAGUAUAUAUGUUACUGGGUCAUAUGGUAACUGCAUGUUUAAUCAUUUGA
Molecule: long non-coding RNA, 2112 nt
Organism: Balaenoptera acutorostrata (minke whale)
Lineage: Eukaryota; Metazoa; Chordata; Mammalia; Artiodactyla; Balaenopteridae
Exons: 4
Source: RefSeq, a predicted model, not a curated record